Molecule: long non-coding RNA, 930 nt
Organism: Atta colombica
Lineage: Eukaryota; Metazoa; Arthropoda; Insecta; Hymenoptera; Formicidae
Exons: 6
Source: RefSeq, a predicted model, not a curated record
UAUUAAGAUGCCAUUACAUGCAAGCGUCAAAAGUCAAACAUCUGCGCAGAAGAUUACUGCUGAUUACUGCGCAGUUUGAAUCUCCAGACUCUGCGUAAUAAGUAUUGUGUGAGAAAUCUCAAGGAGACUAAUCUUGUGAAAAAGUGAAGUGAAAUGAAAAAGUGAAGUGAAAAUGACAAAAAAACCGAACAAGAAAGAUUUCUUUUUGAAAGAAUAGUAAACUUAUAUAAUUAUAUAGGCAAUUCUCUUGGAAGAGUACUUUGAUCUUAGCUUUCUGUUUUAGGUGCUGUCAAUUCCAAAAAAUUGUAAAAAAAAAAACAAAAUGAUUAAACGAAAAAACGUAUAGUAUGCAGUACCAGCGUGCACAAAAAAAUUUAAUUUAGAGCAUUAUUUUUUCCAAUUUCCAAAAGAACAUAAAAAAUAGUUACAAGCUGCAAUGAGUAUAAACAUGUGAAAGGUUGGACUUAGAACCAAAAGGUUCAGAAUAUGCAUAUUAGAAUUGUCAGUUGUGUCGUUUGCAUUUCGAAGAAAAAUGAUAUAAAUUAAAUAAAAUGGAAGCUCAUCUUCAUCCAGAUGCCAUAUCGACAAUAUUUUGUGGGCUAGAAUAAAUAGAUGGAAAAUCUGCAAGUAAAAUAACAGGAAAAAAACAGCAAUAUGGAAUCUGCAGAAAUACAGCAGAAGCAUCUGGAGAAACACAUGGAAAUCGAAGCCGAAAUACAUAGAAACAAAUGAAAACAUAGAUAGAGAAUCUCCGAGUAAAAUACAGAAAAGAACUGAUAAUAAAUAAUAUUUUUGUACAUUUAAUAAAAGAUUUAAUGUGUAACAAACUUUAUACUUUCAGUAAUAUGGAAUCUGCAGAAACACUGCCAAUUAUUAUUGAUAACGUGGAUGCUGAGAUAGUUUUAAAUCAAGUACAUCCAAGGAUACAAA